UACUCUUUGUGGUGGGUUUACUUGCUGUC
This 29-nucleotide small RNA is filed under the name Bombyx mori (domestic silkworm). Its description in RNAcentral is "piRNA piR-bmo-1738735". Lineage: Eukaryota; Metazoa; Arthropoda; Insecta; Lepidoptera; Bombycidae. The record is from RNAcentral.